GCGGCGGCCUCGAGGUUGUCCUGCUGUGCUCCGCAGUGCUCCAACGCCGCGGGGCGGCUCCGGGCGCCGCCUCAGCUUCUACAGGAGAGACGUUGUGGGUGAGACAGAGGGAACAUCAAAUGAGAAACUGGGAAGAGAUAUGAAGUAGCGGGACCAGUUUUUCUAAAAAGCUCAACUGAUCAAAGAGAAGGAAGGAAGCAAUUUGCUGGACUCCCAGGACACCAACGCAGAGCUACCUUCGAGCCGGCACUGUGUGACUGCAUGGAGACUGUCUGUGCCAGUGGGCCAGACCUAAAGAAGGAACUACCAGAUGAUGCUGAGGAUUCCUGCAUUCAUCGACAGAAGCAGUUUAGUGAGACAAAGGAACCGUAAGGCAGGAUAUGCAGUAACUGCUACUGAGCAGGUAAUCAGAGUACAACCGUUACCUGUAGGGACUUCCACUAAGAGGUCUAAAAUAGCCUUAAACGUAUGGACAGAUGCUAAAUAUGCAUUUGGGGUGGCACACACUUAUGGUACCAUCUGGAAAGAGCAAGGAGUGCUCACACACAGGGAAAACAAAUUGAGCACGGUGUAUAUCUACCAAAGAGCGUGGCUGUUAUACACUGUGAUGGACAUCAGAAAGGUGACAGUGUCCAGGAAACUGGAAAUAUGAUAGGGAUCAG
This 662-nucleotide long non-coding RNA is filed under the name Gallus gallus (chicken). Its description in RNAcentral is "lncRNA (ENSGALG00010000220.1)". The record is from RNAcentral. Lineage: Eukaryota; Metazoa; Chordata; Aves; Galliformes; Phasianidae.